UACGAAGGGGGCUAGCGUUGCUCGGAAUUACUGGGCGUAAAGGGCGCGUAGGCGGAUGUUUAAGUCAGAGGUGAAAGCCCAGGGCUCAACCUUGGAACUGCCUUUGAUACUGGGCAUCUUGAGUAUGGGAGAGGUGAGUGGAACUCCGAGUGUAGAGGUGAAAUUCGUAGAUAUUCGGAAGAACACCAGUGGCGAAGGCGACUCACUGGCCCAUUACUGACGCUGAGGCGCGAAGGCGUGGGGAGCAAACAGG
RNAcentral lists this ribosomal RNA (253 nucleotides) under uncultured bacterium. RNAcentral's name for it is "partial 16S ribosomal RNA". It matches the Rfam family "Bacterial small subunit ribosomal RNA", at positions 524 to 776 of the family's 1533-position model. The record is from RNAcentral.